AGACUCAGCCGCCUCCCGGCGCGCACGAGCCCCCAGAAGCCAGCCAUCUUGGAAACGACACAGAAAGUCUGCCCGUGGCACGACGGGAGAGAUCCUCUGCUCCAAGGUGAAAAGAGAGCUUUGGGGGGAAGAGGCGUGUUACCCACAAAGGAGAAGACCCGGAGGUGCUGAAGCAGCAUGAAACGUGUUCCCAGAACCAUGUGCAGAAUGUGGGGUGGCGCUGGUAGUUCUGAGCACAGUUGCAACUGGCAUGACCUCUGGAGUCACACCUGAUAUGUCUGCCCAAGGACAAGGCUCCCUUGGCUCCC
Gopherus flavomarginatus (Mexican gopher tortoise) is the source of this 308-nucleotide long non-coding RNA. RefSeq lists it as uncharacterized. The transcript has 3 exons. The record is from RefSeq and is a predicted model, not a curated record. NCBI's taxonomy places the organism in Eukaryota, Metazoa, Chordata, Testudines, Testudinidae.